AUUUGUAGAGGAAGCUUUUGGCGCGGCACCUUCUGAGUCCCCUGGAACGGGGCGCCAUAGAGGGUGAGAGCCCCGUAUAGUUGGAUGCCUAGCCUCUGUAAAGCUCCUUCGACGAGUCGAGUAGUUUGGGAAUGCUGCUCAAAAUGGGAGGUAAAUUUCUUCUAAAGCUAAAUACCGGCCAGAGACCGAUAGCGCACAAGUAGAGUGAUCGAAAGAUGAAAAGCACUUUGAAAAGAGGGUUAAAUAGCACGUGAAAUUGUUGAAAGGGAAGCGCUUGUGACCAGACUUGCGCCGGGCUGAUCAUCCGGUGUUCUCACCGGUGCACUCUGCCCGGCUCAGGCCAGCAUCGGUUCUCGCGGGGGGACAAAGGCCCUGGGAACGUAGCUCCUCCGGGAGUGUUAUAGCCCAGGGCGUAAUGCCCUCGCGGGGACCGAGGUUCGCGCUCUGCAAGGAUGCUGGCGUAAUGGUCACCAGCGACCCGUCUUGAAACACGGACCAAGGAGUCAAGGUUUUGCGCGAGUGUUUGGGUGUAAAACCCGCACGCGUAAUGAAAGUGAACGUAGGUGAGAGCUUCGGCGCAUCAUCGACCGAUCCUGAUGUAUUCGGAUGGAUUUGAGUAGGAGCGUUAAGCCUUGGACCCGAAAGAUGGUGAACUAUGCUUGGAUAGGGUGAAGCCAGAGGAAAC
This 685-nucleotide ribosomal RNA is filed under the name Madurella mycetomatis. RNAcentral's name for it is "eukaryotic LSU rRNA". It matches the Rfam family "Eukaryotic large subunit ribosomal RNA", at positions 148 to 862 of the family's 3401-position model. The record is from RNAcentral. Lineage: Eukaryota; Fungi; Ascomycota; Sordariomycetes; Sordariales.